CCGCGGCCCGAGUGGUAACCGCUUUUAUUGGGUNUAAAGGGUCUGUAGCCGGCCAGGUAAGUCCCUUGGGAAAUCUGGCAGCUCAACUGUCAGGCUGCUAGGGGAUACUGUUUGGCUUGGGACCGGGAGAGGUGAGAGGUACCUUGGGGGUAGGGGUGAAAUCUUGUGAUCCUCGGGGGACCACCAGUGGCGAAGGCGUCUCACCAGAACGGGUCCGACGGUAAGGGACGAAAGCUAGGGGCACGAACCGGAUUAGAUACCCGGGUAGUCCUAGCCGUAAACGAUGCUCGCUAGGUGUCAGUCACGGUGCGACCGUGAUUGGUGCCGUAGGGAAGCCGUGAAGCGAGCCACCUGGGAAGUAUGGCCGCAAGGCUGAAACUCAAAGGAAUUGACGGGG
This 397-nucleotide ribosomal RNA is filed under the name uncultured archaeon. RNAcentral describes it as "bacterial SSU rRNA". It matches the Rfam family "Archaeal small subunit ribosomal RNA", at positions 477 to 873 of the family's 1478-position model. The record is from RNAcentral.